UACGAAGGGGGCUAGCGUUGUCCGGAAUCAUUGGGCGUAAAGCGCGUGUAGGCGGCUAGGUAAGUCUGCUCUGAAAGCCCGGGGCUCAACCCCGGGAGGCGGGUGGAUACUGUCUGGCUAGAGUCCGGAAGAGGAGAGUGGAAUUCCUGGUGUAGCGGUGAAAUGCGCAGAUAUCAGGAAGAACACCCGUGGCGAAGGCGGCUCUCUGGGACGGUACUGACGCUGAGACGCGAAAGCGUGGGGAGCGAACAGG
This 253-nucleotide ribosomal RNA is filed under the name uncultured bacterium. Its description in RNAcentral is "partial 16S ribosomal RNA". It matches the Rfam family "Bacterial small subunit ribosomal RNA", at positions 524 to 776 of the family's 1533-position model. The record is from RNAcentral.